This is a long non-coding RNA of Nothoprocta perdicaria, 569 nucleotides long. RefSeq lists it as uncharacterized. Lineage: Eukaryota; Metazoa; Chordata; Aves; Tinamiformes; Tinamidae. The transcript has 4 exons. The record is from RefSeq and is a predicted model, not a curated record.
AGGAAUAGGGCUGGUUCUGUGUGCUGGGGAUCUUGGUGGUCUCUGUCCAUGCCUUAUGUUGUAGGCUUGGCCACUAUGGAUGUGUCUCACGCAUCUGGGCUCUUUCUCCAGGGCUCCUGUGAGAUUACAUGUCUAUGAUCCUUGGUAGCAGGAGAUUAUGAGGUUUAAUGUGUUGCUAUCCCACCAAGUGGUACUUGCUGUAAAGUGACUUUGCCAGAGACAAGUCCCUAUCUGGGGGCUUUGCAUGAGCAUGGAUGGAGCCUGUCCUGGUACCCAGAUGUUCUCCCCCUUCCCAGCUCCUUGUUUCUGCAUGUGGGAAGCCCAGCAAGAUGUUCCAGUCCUAUCAUGGUCCAUAAAGCUUCUGCAGGAGACCAAGGACUGGAUGUGCGGUGGUGAUGCUCUUGCCUGCACCUGCAGUCAGGCAAGGAGUGGAAAUUUCCUUUUCAUGGGAGUUAAAGGUUGUCACGGCCAGGAUUCCUGCUGAGGAGGCUCCAAAGCUGCGGGAAGCAGAACAGCAUUUCCUGGCUCCUGCUUUGCGUUCAAGUACGGAGGAGGGUGAUUUAUUCCCU